UACGUAGGGGGCAAGCGUUGUCCGGAUUUAUUGGGCGUAAAGAGCUCGUAGGCGGUUCCGUAAGUCGUGAAGUCAAAUCUCUGGGCUCAACCCAGAAUCGCUUCCGAUACUGCGGUGACUGGAGUCCGGUAGGGGAGUGUGGAAUUCCUGGUGUAGCGGUGAAAUGACGCAGAUAUCAGGAGGAACACCGGUGGCGAAGGCGGGUCUCUGGGCCGUAACUGACGCUGAGGAGCGAAAGCAUGGGGAGCGAACAGG
This 255-nucleotide ribosomal RNA is filed under the name uncultured bacterium. RNAcentral describes it as "partial 16S ribosomal RNA". It matches the Rfam family "Bacterial small subunit ribosomal RNA", at positions 524 to 776 of the family's 1533-position model. The record is from RNAcentral.